AUGGAAGCAUCAGUGGUCUUUUCUCCUGAAUCUUUUGUACCACGAUCAGUCAUGACAAAUUUGACUGUUCACCUUAUGGGGCAGGCUAUAAAUCUACUGGAGGUUGGUGUACGGUUAGAGAAUGCUGAAGCUCUCGUGCAGAAGAUUUUUGGGCAGAAGUUUGAUACUUUUGGUGACAAUUUUUUUGCAAACACCAGUGAAAGAAACCACAAGUCAGGACGCCCCGUGCAAACAACAGGAAAAGUCAAGCAGAGGAAGCUGACUUUUAAGCAAUAUAGCCCUGCUGAUCAUCUUGUAACUACGGCUGGCAAGCCAAAGUUGAGAAGAGCUAACCAGAAUUGUCCACGUCAAAAGUAUAGCAAGAUGAGUGAGUUAGUGAAGAAGUUCACUGAGAGAAAGGUGAGAAAGGAGGAGAUGAAAUGUGAGCUAAGCGUGAAAAUCUUUGGAAAUGAAGUUAGCUUUUUGGAUUGUGAAGAUUUAAGAAAGCAAAUGAAACAUUAUUCUUUAAAUCUGGCUGAGCUUGCUGUCAAACUUCUGAAGGGGCAAGAGAUCCAGCUUAAUAAAAGGCUUAGUUUGGCCACGGAAGAAUUGCAGUUUCCAGUAAUUUCAGGCUUUCCUGUUCAACUGGCAAUCAAUGCCUCAGCAGCAAUCAAUGUUAAAAUGAAAGGCAAUGCAGAGUUCAAAGAACAGUCAAAUUUCUUUGUAAAUGGCUAUAUCAAGCCAAGGUAA
RNAcentral lists this long non-coding RNA (729 nucleotides) under Anser cygnoides (Swan goose). RNAcentral's name for it is "lncRNA (ENSACDG00005016535.1)". The record is from RNAcentral. Lineage: Eukaryota; Metazoa; Chordata; Aves; Anseriformes; Anatidae.